Molecule: non-coding RNA, 65 nt
Organism: Dipodomys ordii (Ord's kangaroo rat)
Lineage: Eukaryota; Metazoa; Chordata; Mammalia; Rodentia; Heteromyidae
Source: Rfam
GGUGGCUCAGUGGUAGAGCAUUUGCCUUGUAUGCCAGAGGCCCUGGGUUCGAUUCCUCAGCACCA